GUGCCAGCAGCCGCGGUAAUACGUAGGGCGCAAGCGUUGUCCGCCAGCAGCCGCGGUAAUGAGCUCGUAGGCGGUUUGUCGCGUCUGCUGUGAAAGCCCGGGGCUCAACCCCGGGUCUGCAGUGGGUACGGGCAGACUAGAGUGCAGUAGGGGAGACUGGAAUUCCUGGUGUAGCGGUGAAAUGCGCAGAUAUCAGGAGGAACACCGAUGGCGAAGGCAGGUCUCUGGGCUGUUACUGACGCUGAGGAGCGAAAGCAUGGGGAGCGAACAGGAUUAGAUACCCUGGUAGUCC
This 292-nucleotide ribosomal RNA is filed under the name uncultured microorganism. RNAcentral describes it as "partial 16S ribosomal RNA". It matches the Rfam family "Bacterial small subunit ribosomal RNA", at positions 505 to 796 of the family's 1533-position model. The record is from RNAcentral.